AACGAACGUUAGCGGCGCGCCUAACACAUGCAAGUCGCGCGAGAAAGGGCUUCGGCCCCAGUAAAGCGGCGCACGGUGAGUAACACGUAGGUCAUCUUCCCUCGAGUGGUGGAUAACUCUCCGAAAGGAGAGCUAAUACAGCAUAAGACCACGACUUCGCCGAAGUUGUGGCCAAAGCAGACCUCUUCAUGAAAGUUUGCGCUUGAGGAUGAGCCUGCGGCCCACAGCUAGUUGGUAGGUAAUGCCUACCAAGGCUAAGACGGGUAGCUGGUCUGAGGAGGAU
This 283-nucleotide ribosomal RNA is filed under the name uncultured bacterium. Its description in RNAcentral is "partial 16S ribosomal RNA". It matches the Rfam family "Bacterial small subunit ribosomal RNA", at positions 29 to 301 of the family's 1533-position model. The record is from RNAcentral.